GAUGAACGCUGGCGGCGUGCCUAACACAUGCAAGUCGAGCGCAGGAAGCCGUCCGAACCCUUCGGGGGGACGACGGUGGAAUGAGCGGCGGACGGGUGAGUAACACGUAAAGAACCUACCCAUAGGUCUGGGAUAACCACGAGAAAUCGGGGCUAAUACCGGAUGUGUCAUCGGACCGCAUGGUCCGCUGAUGAAAGGCGCUCCGGCGUCGCCCAUGGAUGGCUUUGCGGUGCAUUAGCUAGUUGGUGGGGUAACGGCCCACCAAGGCGACGAUGCAUAGCCGACCUGAGAGGGUGAUCGGCCACACUGGGACUGAGACACGGCCCAGACUCCUACGGGAGGCAGCAGUAGGGAAUCUUCCACAAUGGACGAAAGUCUGAUGGAGCAACGCCGCGUGAACGAUGAAGGCUUUCGGGUCGUAAAGUUCUGUUGUAAGGGAAGAACAAGUGCCGCAGGCAAUGGCGGCACCUUGACGGUACCUUGCGAGAAAGCCACGGCUAACUACGUGCCAGCCGCCGCCGUAA
RNAcentral lists this ribosomal RNA (524 nucleotides) under uncultured bacterium. Its description in RNAcentral is "partial 16S ribosomal RNA". It matches the Rfam family "Bacterial small subunit ribosomal RNA", at positions 28 to 523 of the family's 1533-position model. The record is from RNAcentral.